Molecule: small nuclear RNA, 103 nt
Organism: Zalophus californianus (California sea lion)
Lineage: Eukaryota; Metazoa; Chordata; Mammalia; Carnivora; Otariidae
Source: Ensembl
GCUUGCUUCAGCAGCAUAUACUAAAAUUGGAACAAUACAGAGAAGAUUAGCAUGGUCCUUGCACAGGGAGGACAUGCAAAUUCGUCAAAUGUUCCAUGUUUUU